AAAAAAAUAAAGAAAAAUGUAUUUCUUCCUUGUUUUCAAAGAGAUUGAAUUCAGUAUAAUUGAAUAGUAACAUUAUUGAUGAUGUACUAGUGCCAGGUGCACCUUUACCAGGUGUUAAAGAGGCAAAGAAGAACAGGAUGUGAUUCCUGUCUCUUGGACAUGGUGCCCAGAGGAGCCCAGUGCUAAAUACCAAUAGUCCAGGAUGCUCUUAACAGACUCAAAAACACUGAAGGGGCAGAAGAGGAAAUCAUGGAGUUCUAUCUGUGAGUCUGGAGCUGUCACCAUGUCCGUCUGAACCGUGUCUUCAAAGACGUUCUUCUAGGCAGGGAAGUGGGGAAAGGCACGUGAGAGCAGACACAAGGGGGCAAAAGAAGUGAGGCAUGAAAAAGCAGGGCAGGUUUGUGCAUGGAGCGUGUACCCAGCACAGGGCCAUGGCCAUCUUACCACAGCCUUCUAUUGAGCUAACAAGUUGGUUUUCAAAAACACAGGUGUGUGCAUAGGUUGCUGCUUCCAAAAGAUCAACCUGACAGCCAAGAUUGAGGAUGCGUUCCAAGGAAAGACUCCCCUUCUUAGGAUGUUGCAUUAGGUUUAUUUUUUCAGUGCUACUGAAGAGCUGCCCACAUCUGAUGAUUUCUCCACAGUACGCAAUUUGUUGCUCCAAGUAGACUACGUGAUUUUUCGAAUCUUCAUCCACUCAUAAAAUCCUCUUCUGUUGAUGAAAGCGGACAUUAGAGCUCAGGGUGGCAGUUGCUGU
This 754-nucleotide long non-coding RNA is filed under the name Oryctolagus cuniculus (rabbit). Its description in RNAcentral is "lncRNA (ENSOCUG00000038274.1)". The record is from RNAcentral. Lineage: Eukaryota; Metazoa; Chordata; Mammalia; Lagomorpha; Leporidae.